This 470-nucleotide ribosomal RNA is filed under the name Acinetobacter sp. oral taxon C51. Its description in RNAcentral is "bacterial SSU rRNA". It matches the Rfam family "Bacterial small subunit ribosomal RNA", at positions 30 to 494 of the family's 1533-position model. The record is from RNAcentral. Lineage: Bacteria; Pseudomonadati; Pseudomonadota; Gammaproteobacteria; Moraxellales; Moraxellaceae.
AUUGAACGCUGGCGGCAGGCUUAACACAUGCAAGUCGAGCGGAGCGAGGGUGCUUGCACCUUAGCUUAGCGGCGGACGGGUGAGUAAUGCUUAGGAAUCUGCCUAUUAGUGGGGGACAACAUUCCGAAAGGGAUGCUAAUACCGCGUACGCCCUACGGGGGAAAGCAGGGGAUCUUCGGACCUUGCGCUAAUAGAUGAGCCUAAGUCGGAUUAGCUAGUUGGUGGGGUAAAGGCCUACCAAGGCGACGAUCUGUAGCGGGUCUGAGAGGAUGAUCCGCCACACUGGGACUGAGACACGGCCCAGACUCCUACGGGAGGCAGCAGUGGGGAAUAUUGGACAAUGGGCGGAAGCCUGAUCCAGCCAUGCCGCGUGUGUGAAGAAGGCCUUUUGGUUGUAAAGCACUUUAAGCGAGGAGGAGGCGCUCUAGGAUAAUACCCUAGAUGCGUGGACGUACUCGCAGAUAAGCCCC